UGGGACCUGAGGAUCAUUUCCUAAGGACAUCUCAGUGAAUAUGAAUGUGUGUGGGGUGGAGGUAGGAGCCCAGGCAAGGGUCACUGGGUCCCAGGCAGUAUCUAGUUGAUCCAGAACAAGCCCCCACCCCAUCCCCCCAGUGAGCCAGGAACUGCCAGGACUUGCUAAUACAAAAGGACAACUGUCACCUCAAAGGGGAUAAGAGUUUGUUCUGGAACCAACUGUGUGACCAAGGCCCAGGAACACAGAUUCAGGUUACCCCAUAUUUCAUGUUCCAAUGUGGUAACAGUAUUGAACUAUUUAUAGUAACAGGACAAAGGAAAUCAUUAAUCAAGACACUUUUCAAAUGCAUCGGUGUAUCAGAGGCUGGUGGGUCACAGCAGAAUGAGAACUUCAGCUACAGGCCUGAUACUUGCUAGCCAUUGUAGCCUUUGAUGGGUGGGGCUUGGGGAUUUGCUAAUUUAAUUCAUACCAAGAGGUUCCCCUGAUAGUUAACAAAGACAUUAGCCUGGACACAACUGUGGUCAAGGAAUGGCGGCUAAGGGACUAAGCACAGCCAAGGUAAAGUGUAACUAGGCACUGAGCCCGCAGCCCCAGGUCUCCACAACCUCAGAGAGUUCCAGUCAGGGUGUCAGUCUUUCAGAAGGCUCUCUGUAAGGCACAGCCUCUUUCCAGAACCUUCCAGCACAGAUUCUAGCCCAUGUCCUCCUGACUCAUCCCAUGUCACCAUGACUCUGCAGGACCCCACCUGUCCUGGGUAUGCCCUCUAGGCUGUCUGAAGGAGCUUUGCUUAGUAAGCAAAACGGCAAGGCUAGGAGGAAGUGGGUGUGGUUACCAGUCCUCUCUCUGGAAGCUCUGACGUAGCCUUCCAGGGACAAGGCCAUGGUGGCCCUGUGGGCACAAAGCCUUGUCCAGCUGGAAUGUUCCUGAGAAAGGAAUCCGCUGGACUGUGAGUGCUCCCUAGUUCUCAGGCCUCACUCCAAAUGGUCCAUCCCCAAGAUCAGCCAGAUCAGGCCUCAGACAAUCCCAUCUUCCCUAAACUGCUCCAUCAGUCUCUAGAACAUUCUUCCACUUGACCAGCUUUCUAUGCCUGCCCCUAAGUGAGCCAUCUCCGUCCAUAGAUACUGCCCAGCUCAUGCUUGGCAUCCCUGACAGUAUCAUUACCAGUGCCCUUCUUCCUGCAGCAGCUGUGAGAAACAUUCUAGAACUUUCAAACUCAUCUUAGUCACUGUUCUGUUGCUGCAAUGGAACACCAUGACCAAUGUGGAUUAGAGUCUAAAGGCUGCUCCGCAGAAGGAUCGUGGGAGGUGGGGAGCAGGCAAGAGCCCAGGCAAGACCAGCAGCACGGACUUCCAGCAAGGUGCAGCCUCUGUGUAUCGGGGAGACUCUGCCCAGAAUGGGGAAACUGAGGCUCUGAGAAAGCUGCCACGGGCCUGCCCUAUGCUAUCGGAGCACACUCAGACUGGGCAGUCAAGAGUUGCACAGAGACACCUCCUGGGGUCAGACUUGACACAGAAAAGAAAGAAAGAACUCCUUGGAAAUGAAGGUGUUGGAAGCAGGCUUCUGAGAGAUGACUAGGAGUUUUCAAGGAGGAAAGGGUCUGAAAUCUGGCCUUUCAGACCAGAGAAGAGAAAGCUUGUGAGUUCCACACAAGGUUGUACCCAUUUAAAAAUUAAAUUAAACUAAUUACAUUUUGA
This is an RNA transcript of Mus musculus (house mouse), 1697 nucleotides long. It is a transcript of the gene named predicted gene, 38427, with no coding region annotated. The transcript is spliced from 3 exons. The record is from RefSeq and is a predicted model, not a curated record. NCBI's taxonomy places the organism in Eukaryota, Metazoa, Chordata, Mammalia, Rodentia, Muridae.